This 292-nucleotide ribosomal RNA is filed under the name uncultured bacterium. RNAcentral describes it as "partial 16S ribosomal RNA". It matches the Rfam family "Bacterial small subunit ribosomal RNA", at positions 505 to 796 of the family's 1533-position model. The record is from RNAcentral.
GUGCCAGCCGCCGCGGUAAUACGUAGGUGGCGAGCGUUAUCCGGAAUUACUGGGCGUAAAGGGCCCGCAGGCGGCUUCUUAAGUCUGACGUGAAAGCUCCUGGCUUAACUGGGAGAGGUCGUUGGAGACUGGGGGGCUUGAGGCGAUGAGAGGGGUGUGGAAUUCCCGGUGUAGUGGUGGAAUGCGUAGAUAUCGGGAGGAACACCAGUGGCGAAAGCGGCACCCUGGCAUCGGCCUGACGCUGAGGGGCGAAGGCGUGGGGAGCGAACGGGAUUAGAUACCCCGGUAGUCC